GGGUGAGUGGAUGCUGGAGCCAAAUCUAUGAGUCUCACACUCGGUGCACAAAAACUUAACAGCUCAGAUGGAUGGGUAAAAUCUGUAUCGGUGUAGAAACUGCAUGGGAUGAAAGCUUUACAGUUCUGCAGAGGAAUCUGGUUCUGCUCUGUACCAUCUGUGCACCAAUUGUGUGGAUUGUUUGUUGAGCUUUGUUUGGUUGGGUUUUUUCCUUCAAGAAAGAUACAUAAGUCAGUAAAAAGAAUGCACUUCAGGUCAGUUUAACUCCUGAGCUAUUGUUUUUGGCCCUCGCCACUGCUGAUUAUAGGUUCAAAUUUUAUACAAGAGUUAAAAAGAAGAAUCAUGCCUAAUUACUAUUUUCUGCAAUUUAUUUAAUUUCAAAGACAACAAUUUAAUUUCAAACUUUGCUCAAAUUAGAGGGGGAAAUAAAAAAACCUGGAAAUGCAGAAAAAGUAAGAUUAGAGACCUGAUUUUCAAUGUAAGACCCUUACAGCUGAUGGUAUAUUUCUAUGUGCAGCUAAUACACACAUUGUCUGUUUGAAACCUAAUGACUGUGUGAUAGUAAAUAUCUGGUAGAUCCAGACCAUGAAGAGGGUGCUUCCAUUAGGUUUGUGCUUAUACCACUAAUAUGAUGUGUUUGUUCGCGUGUAUUUUACAAUAUACACACAAAUUAGACUGAGCGAUUCUUAGCAACAAGGAAAGGCAACAAGAAAAAAAUAAUAUAAGCUUAUACAUACAUUAAACAUUUAUAUAACGAUGCACAUUCUAUGUGCAUAACAAUAAACACAUUUCAGUCUAUGAGCAUGCAGUAAACACACUUCAGAUGACAAUUUAAAAUUAAUGUCCACGGGCACUCCAAACAUGCUGUGGCACUCGUGGAGUGAAAUCUGAGGCUAUUAAAACAAACAGGAGCCUUGCUUAAUCAGGGUUUUCCAGACUGCAAAACUCCAGAGGGGGAUCCAAGAGAACCCUUGAGGAAAUUUAAGAUCAUAUGACAUCAAAGUGAAAAAAGGCAUCACUCCUAUCUGCUUCUCCAGACGCUUCCCGUGACUUACAGGAAACACAGCACCUUAUGCUCUCAAUCAACUGAAAGCAGCAAUGGAAGAGAUGGACUAAGACUUGCAUAAACAUUGACUCAAGGAGAAGAACCCUCUUCUACGGCUCUACAUUCCAUAAAAACUCAGUUUCCUGAAGUCUUCUCUCUUGCAGGAGAAAGUGGAGAUGAUCCACAGCCUGCAACUCUACCAUAUAUUCUUUUACUGGAAUAAGAAAUGUUUUUAGAUCAACAGCUUCAGAAGCCAAUGGAGCAUCUGUGUGCCAACAUUAAAGUCUCUUUUCAGCUGUGAGAAUUCCAUGCUUUCUAAAAACCUUGCCUUCUCAUAGGAAGAUGGCCAAAAUCUCCCAGAUAGGAGUUUAUGGCAGAAAUCUACAAGUUUAGAUCACUAAUUACUGCUUUUGAAUAAAUCUCAGUGUACAUGUA
Corvus hawaiiensis (hawaiian crow) is the source of this 1480-nucleotide long non-coding RNA. RefSeq lists it as uncharacterized. NCBI's taxonomy places the organism in Eukaryota, Metazoa, Chordata, Aves, Passeriformes, Corvidae. The transcript is spliced from 2 exons. The record is from RefSeq and is a predicted model, not a curated record.